This 253-nucleotide ribosomal RNA is filed under the name uncultured bacterium. Its description in RNAcentral is "partial 16S ribosomal RNA". It matches the Rfam family "Bacterial small subunit ribosomal RNA", at positions 524 to 776 of the family's 1533-position model. The record is from RNAcentral.
UACGUAGGGGGCAAGCGUUGUCCGGAUUUAUUGGGCGUAAAGAGCGUGUAGGCGGCCUGGUAGGUCAGCUGUGAAAACUCGAGGCUCAACCUCGAGACGUCGGUUGAAACCACCUGGCUAGAGUCCGGAAGAGGAGAGUGGAAUUCCCGGUGUAGCGGUGAAAUGCGCAGAUAUCAGGAGGAACACCGGUGGCGAAGGCGGGUCUCUGGGCCGAUACUGACGCUGAGGAGCGAAAGCGUGGGGAGCGAACAGG